CCUACGGGAGGCAGCAGUGGGGGAUCUUGCACAAUGGGGGGAACCCUGAUGCAGCGACGCCGCGUGGGUGAAGAAGCGCCUCGGCGCGUAAAGCCCUGUCAGCAGGGAAGAAAAUGACGGUACCUGAAGGAGAAGCCCCGGCGAACUACGUGCCAGCAGCCGAGGUAAUACGUAGGGGGCAAGCGUUAUCCGGAUUUACUGGGUGUAAAGGGGGCGCAGACGGCGGUGCAAGCCAGGAGUGAAAGCCCGGGGCCUAACCCCGGGACUGCUCUUGGAACUGCGUGGCUGGAGUGCAGGAGGGGCAGGCGGAAGUCCUGGUGUAGCGGUGGAAUGCGUAGAUAUCAGGAGGAACACCGGUGGCGAAGGCGGCCUGCUGGACUGCAACUGACGUUGAGGCCCGAAAGCGUGGGGAGCAAACAGGAUUAGAUACCCUGGUAGUC
Molecule: ribosomal RNA, 440 nt
Filed under: uncultured bacterium
Lineage: Bacteria
Description: partial 16S ribosomal RNA
Rfam family: Bacterial small subunit ribosomal RNA
Source: RNAcentral